RNAcentral lists this ribosomal RNA (379 nucleotides) under uncultured Anaerolineaceae bacterium. RNAcentral's name for it is "bacterial SSU rRNA". It matches the Rfam family "Bacterial small subunit ribosomal RNA", at positions 990 to 1382 of the family's 1533-position model. Lineage: Bacteria; Bacillati; Chloroflexota; Anaerolineae; Anaerolineales; Anaerolineaceae. The record is from RNAcentral.
CCUGUAAACCUGUGGAAACACGGGUCCCUCCUUCGGGAGCAGGUGUAGAGGUGCUGCAUGGCUGUCGUCAGCUCGUGUCGUGAGAUGUUCGGUUAAGUCCGCUAACGAGCGCAACCCUCGUCGUAUGUUAUAUGUGUCAUACGAGACUGCCGGUAAAAGCCGGAGGAAGGUGAGGAUGAUGUCAAGUCAGCAUGGCCUUUAUAUCCAGGGCUACACACACGCUACAAUGGUCUGUACAAUGGGUAGCCAAGCCGCGAGGCGGAGCCAAUCCUGAAAGCAGGCCUCAGUUCAGAUUGCAGUCUGCAACUCGACUGCAUGAAGCCGGAGUUGCUAGUAACCGCAGGUCAGCAAUACUGCGGUGAAUACGUUCCCGGGUCUU